This 257-nucleotide ribosomal RNA is filed under the name uncultured bacterium. Its description in RNAcentral is "partial 16S ribosomal RNA". It matches the Rfam family "Bacterial small subunit ribosomal RNA", at positions 524 to 776 of the family's 1533-position model. The record is from RNAcentral.
UACAGAGGGUGCAAGCGUUGUUCGGAAUUACUGGGCGUAAAGCGCGUGUAGGCUGCGAUGUAAGUCAGGCGUGAAAAGCCCCCGGGCUCAACCUGGGGAACGGCGCUUGGGACGGCGAGGCUGGAGUUCGGGAGAGGAGAGUGGAAUUCCCAGUGUAGAGGUGAAAAUUCGUAGAUAUUGGGAAGAACACCGGUGGCGAAAGCGGCUCUCUGGACCGACACUGACGCUGAGGCGCGAAAGCGUGGGGAGCAAACAGG